Molecule: ribosomal RNA, 1263 nt
Filed under: Triticum aestivum (bread wheat)
Lineage: Eukaryota; Viridiplantae; Streptophyta; Magnoliopsida; Poales; Poaceae
Description: partial small subunit ribosomal RNA
Source: RNAcentral
AUGGGGAUGAACGCCCUCACCGGGCUACGCCGACGAGGAUGCGCACGGUGGGUUCAACCCCAACGUCACCUUCCCCAUGGACACCCGGCCCAGCGGACGCCCACGCCCGCCUUCACCGGCGUGCAGUACCCUCCAUACAACUACUCGCCGCCCGCCUACGCGUCCUCCCCGACGCCCCCUCUCCGCCGUGGCGCGCGGCCCUUCUCGCACCUCGGCGACACCUACGAGACCGAGACCGACAUGGAUGACAUCAUCGCGAUAGGCUCGGCCGCGACCGCCGCGUCUCCCGGGUUCGCCACCCCGGACGACACCGUGGAUCUGAGCAGCGGCAUGGAAGACGAGCUCGGCUACGUCUACGGCGAGGAGGAGCAGGAGGAGCAGGAGGAGGAGGACGAGGAGGAGGAGGAGGAGGAGCCAGCGACUGUUCCGGCGAGGAGGAGCAAGAAGAAGAAGCGCGCGGCCAGGUCCGGCGAGCCGCGCAUCAAGUGGGCGUCCAAGGAGGAGGAAUGCCUCGCUGAAGCAUGGAAAGUCGUCUGCCUCGACCCGACCACCGGCACAAACCAGAGCAUCGAGACGUACUGGGAGCGCAUCAAGACCGAGUUCGACGAGCGCCAGCUCAUCGACCCCUACUUCAAAGGCGUCUACAUGCAGCGCGGGUCGAAGGCGAUGGCAAACCAUUGGGGGCGUAUCCAGGGGGCGUGCAACAAAUGGCAUGGGAUCGCCGAGGAGGUCGCGGCUCGCCCGGAGAGCGGCGCCAGCGUUGAGGAUCAGGGCAACAACGACGCCGAAUUCAAGUACCUCUACGUCUACAAGCGCAUAGACAUGUGCGAGAAGUGGGCGGAAGUCCGGCGCACCCUCGACAAGGCCAAGGAGACCUGUAAGCCGGACGCGCCGACUGUGGACGCAUCAGAAGGGCGGCCGGGGUGCAACAAAGCCAUCGAGCACUGCCUCGCCGACGCGCAAGCCCGGGCUGUCCUUCGUGAAGAGAAGACUGAGGCGCGGUGGUCGGCGUUGAUGUCAAGCAGCGCCAUCAAGCUCGACCUACUCCGGACCAACGUCACCAUGAAGAAGAGAAACACCGACCUGGCUUUCCUGCUGGGCGGGGCGGACAUACUCCAGAGCACCGACGAGGCGGUCAAGGCGUGGUACUUGACGGAGCGGGGCCUCAUCCUGAACCAGCUUCCAUCGACGACGCCGCCCACGCCGACGCCGACAGACCCCGCCAAGCCCGCGCACGCUGACGCCGCUGACGCCGGAGGCUGA